GACGAACGCUGGCGGCGUGCUUAACACAUGCAAGUCGAACGGAAAGGCCCUGCUUUUGUGGGUGCUCGAGUGGCGAACGGGUGAGUAACACGUGAGUAACCUGCCCUUGACUUUGGGAUAACUUCAGGAAACUGGGGCUAAUACCGGAUAGGAGCUCCUGCUGCAUGGUGGGGGUUGGAAAGUUUCGGCGGUUGGGGAUGGACUCGCGGCUUAUCAGCUUGUUGGUGGGGUAGGGGCUUACCAAGGCUUUGACGGGUAGCCGGCCUGAGAGGGUGACCGGCCACAUUGGGACUGAGAUACGGCCCAGACUCCUACGGGAGGCAGCAGUGGGGAAUAUUGCACAAUGGGCGGAAGCCUGAUGCAGCAACGCCGCGUGCGGGAUGACGGCCUUCGGGUUGUAAACCGCUUUCGCCUGUGACGAAGCGUGAGUGACGGUAAUGGGUAAAGAAGCACCGGCUAACUACGUG
This 467-nucleotide ribosomal RNA is filed under the name uncultured bacterium. RNAcentral describes it as "partial 16S ribosomal RNA". It matches the Rfam family "Bacterial small subunit ribosomal RNA", at positions 28 to 507 of the family's 1533-position model. The record is from RNAcentral.